This 389-nucleotide unclassified non-coding RNA is filed under the name Starmerella meliponinorum. RNAcentral's name for it is "partial contains ITS1, 5.8S rRNA and ITS2". The stretch from base 115 to 264 matches the Rfam family "5.8S ribosomal RNA". The record is from RNAcentral. Lineage: Eukaryota; Fungi; Ascomycota; Dipodascomycetes; Dipodascales; Trichomonascaceae.
AACGCGAAAAUACAUAAAGGCUUCGGCUAGAGUGUGUUUUGGCAUUGCUUGGACGGGGUUCGCUCUGUCCAACUUCAAAACUUAUAUCAAUUUAUCUGAAAACUGAAAAUUUAAAACUUUCAACAACGGAUCUCUUGGUUCUCACAUCGAUGAAGAACGCAGCAAAGCGCGAUAGGUAAUGCGAAUUGCAGACGUGAGUCAUUGAAUCUUUGAACGCACAUUGCGCUACUAGGUUCUCCUAGUAGCAUGCUUGUUGGAGCGCCGAACUUUCUCUCUAACUCUUCUUCUGAAGAGUCGUGAGGUAUUGCUUCUGCUAGAAGUCAAAGAAAUGGAACAGCACACGUUAAUAACUCUGUGCAGUAAUAUUUUUAUGGCCCCCAAUCAAGCAA